UAUAUGAUUGAGGAUUGCAUAAUAAAACCGUUAUUUUCUCUAAUAACGGUCGUUAAAUUUGCGAUACUUGGAUGUAACGGCCGAUAUAAAUGACUACAACGGUGGAUAUAACAUAUCGCCCUCGGUGCCACCAUUUCUUUGUUGCCCGACCCAAACAGGCGCCGCGCCACCGAAGAGCUCCUCCUUUUCCGCUGCGCCGCGCCACCGAAGAGCUCCUCCUUUUCCGCUGCGCCGCUGCUUCCUACGUAUUCGGUUGAUCCCAAGGUAGAUACUUCCCUCGGUGGCAGGUCCUUCUACGGCCGCUUGUAGGGAUCGAAGGGCGCCACACGGCAAGCGAAGAGUUUGAUCGAGGACCAAGCGGUGCUUAUCGAUUGGAUCAGUCAUUCGAGGACGGACUCUUUGCGAUAUGUACAAGUCCAUGGGUGGGAAAGGUGAUUCUUUGCGGCCGACGAAGGAUGAGGCGCCUUCGGGGAGGCAGUGGGGUUGAUGAUUUUGAUAGUUUAUCUCGAGAAUUGGGUGAGGAAAGUCUCGGAGUUCCAGAGAUAACUAGCGAAGAGGCGAUUUGAUAGCGAUUUGGAGGAUGAAUACAAGGUCGAUGAUGAGGAGGAGAAAAUUGACUGUUUGUGCAGACAGAGAACCGUAUCUACGUCGUUUGGGUAGAACUGGUCGGAAAGGCCAGGAAGGAAUAGGGAGUCUGAUGUCGGCACCAUGGGAAGACUUCUUUUUUAGUAGCAUCAAGGACUCGCCAAUCACCAAGGCUCCAUUACCAACAGUAGAAAACAAGUAUCUGAAUCACUUCCUUUACUACCAUAUUUGUUGCUUUAUUGGCUUAAAAAUACUUAAACAAUUACAUACUCACUCUAUUGCAAUUAUGCUGAAGUAUAUAUGCCCGAUGUUUUAUAUAGCUGUAUUUUGUUGUUUGAUAAUGUGUUUUUGCCAUCUUAUGCACCUUUUUGUUUCUUUUCCCUGUAAUUUUUCACUUUUGUUGUUUGACUUGAAGCUGAUUCUGCAAUUUUUAGCUCUUCACUGUCGAAUGAUAGGUAGUUCACACUCAAUUGUAUUUAGUCAUUUUGAAGAGUGAAUUUGAGGGUACCAUCAACAGCCUGCUUUUGUCUUGGGCUUUUGCAAAGAGCUUGGAUAGAUGCUGUCAGCUGUUGUUGAUGGCUAGAAGUAGAGGGUCCACUUUGGGUACAGAGUGCUGACGACAGUCCUUGCAUCGGCAUAGAAGACUGGUGAACUAGAAUCUUGGGCCUAGAUAUCACCAAUGUGGAGUGGGCAGUGGUGCGUCCAGAGAUGAAGAACUAAGAAUCAGCAUAUCAACCAUGGCUUGAAUUAUGUAGUUCCAGUAAAAAUAUUGGUUCAGAAUCAGCUUGUAACUCUUGCUAAUGUGUUUAGCCCAGGCAUAAUACUCAGCCCCUGGUUUACAAGCAAGAAGACACAUGGCUUCUACCCUAUAAACAAAAUGGAGCAGUUUAAGAUUUUUCUACAAAACUACAUGAUGCUUCAAUUUAUUCUCAACCUUUGUCUGGCCAGUUUGAUCAGUUCUCUCACCGUUCUUUGGACAGAGAGUUGUUUCUCACAUGCUUCAAUAUGGUUUUAUUGUUGGCUGUUAAUUGGGUAUGGGUGAUGGAAAAGAAAUCCUGUUGUCUUAACUUGUACCAUUAGGAAAAUACAUUUGGAAUGCAAAAUCUUAUAGCUUGUUGGAUCUUGCAUCGGCUCUUCUUCUGGACCGAGAAAGAUCGUGGCGAAGGCUUGAUGAGUACAUAGCGGAUGGCACUAGAUACUGCAUCUCGGUAACUAAAAUUACUCGGCCGCAAUUAGCUGAUGGAGUGGUCAUCAUUCUUGUUCAUUGUAAUUGUGAAUUGAUAUAUAUGGUGUAGUUCUUGCUCAUUCAAAGAUAUUUUCUGUAA
Long non-coding RNA from Musa acuminata AAA Group (dessert banana), 1910 nucleotides. RefSeq lists it as uncharacterized. The record is from RefSeq and is a predicted model, not a curated record. The transcript has 5 exons. NCBI's taxonomy places the organism in Eukaryota, Viridiplantae, Streptophyta, Magnoliopsida, Zingiberales, Musaceae.